Molecule: ribosomal RNA, 497 nt
Filed under: uncultured bacterium
Lineage: Bacteria
Description: partial 16S ribosomal RNA
Rfam family: Bacterial small subunit ribosomal RNA
Source: RNAcentral
GAUGAACGCUGGCGGCGUGCCUAAUACAUGCAAGUCGAGCGAACAGACGAGGAGCUUGCUCCUCUGAUGUUAGCGGCGGACGGGUGAGUAACACGUGGAUAACCUACCUAUAAGACUGGGAUAACUUCGGGAAACCGGAGCUAAUACCGGAUAACAUGUUGAACCGCAUGGUUCAACAGUGAAAGACGGUCUUGCUGUCACUUAUAGAUGGAUCCGCGCCGCAUUAGCUAGUUGGUAAGGUAACGGCUUACCAAGGCAACGAUGCGUAGCCGACCUGAGAGGGUGAUCGGCCACACUGGAACUGGGACACGGUCCAGACUCCUACGGGAGGCAGCAGUAGGGAAUCUUCCGCAAUGGGCGAAAGCCUGACGGAGCAACGCCGCGUGAGUGAAGAAGGUCUUCGGAUCGUAAAACUCUGUUAUUAGGGAAGAACAAAUGUGUAAGUAACUAUGCACGUCUUGACGGUACCUAAUCAGAAAGCCACGGCUAACUACGUG